GGGCGCACGGUGGAUGCCUUGACACUAGGAGUCGAUGAAGGACGGGACUAACGCCGAUAUGCUUCGGGGAGCUGUAAGUAAGCUUUGAUCCGAAGAUUUCCGAAUGGGGAAACCCACCAUACGUAAUGGUAUGGUAUCCUUAUCUGAAUACAUAGGGUAAGGAAGACAGACCCAGGGAACUGAAACAUCUAAGUACCUGGAGGAAGAGAAAGCAAAUGCGAUUUCCUGAGUAGCGGCGAGCGAAACGGAACAUAGCCCAAACCAAGAGGCUUGCCUCUUGGGGUUGUAGGACAUUCUAUACGGAGUUACAAAGGAACGAGGUAGACGAAGCGACCUGGAAAGGUCCGUCGUAGAGGGUAACAACCCCGUAGUCGAAACUUCGUUCUCUCUUGAAUGUAUCCUGAGUACGGCGGAACACGUGAAAUUCCGUCGGAAUCUGGGAGGACCAUCUCCCAAGGCUAAAUACUCCCUAGUGAUCGAUAGUGAACCAGUACCGUGAGGGAAAGGUGAAAAGCACCCCGGAAGGGGAGUGAAAGAGAUCCUGAAACCGUGUGCCUACAAAUAGUCAGAGCCCGUUAAUGGGUGAUGGCGUGCCUUUUGUAGAAUGAACCGGCGAGUUACGAUCCCGUGCGAGGUUAAGCUGAAGAGGCGGAGCCGCAGCGAAAGCGAGUCUGAAUAGGGCGUUUAGUACGUGGUCGUAGACCCGAAACCAGGUGAUCUACCCAUGUCCAGGGUGAAGUUCAGGUAACACUGAAUGGAGGCCCGAACCCACGCACGUUGAAAAGUGCGGGGAUGAGGUGUGGGUAGCGGAGAAAUUCCAAUCGAACCUGGAGAUAGCUGGUUCUCCCCGAAAUAGCUUUAGGGCUAGCCUUAAGUGUAAGAGUCUUGGAGGUAGAGCACUGAUUGGACUAGGGGUCCUCAUCGGAUUACCGAAUUCAGUCAAACUCCGAAUGCCAAUGACUUAUCCUUAGGAGUCAGACUGCGAGUGAUAAGAUCCGUAGUCAAAAGGGAAACAGCCCAGACCGCCAGCUAAGGUCCCAAAGUGUGUAUUAAGUGGAAAAGGAUGUGGAGUUGCUUAGACAACUAGGAUGUUGGCUUAGAAGCAGCCACCAUUUAAAGAGUGCGUAAUAGCUCACUAGUCGAGUGACUCUGCGCCGAAAAUGUACCGGGGCUAAAUACACCACCGAAGCUGCGGAUUGAUACCAAUGGUAUCAGUGGUAGGGGAGCGUUCUAAGGACAGUGAAGUCAGACCGGAAGGACUGGUGGAGUGCUUAGAAGUGAGAAUGCCGGUAUGAGUAGCGAAAGACGGGUGAGAAUCCCGUCCACCGAAUGCCUAAGGUUUCCUGAGGAAGGCUCGUCCGCUCAGGGUUAGUCAGGACCUAAGCCGAGGCCGACAGGCGUAGGCGAUGGACAACAGGUUGAUAUUCCUGUACCACCUCUUUAUCGUUUGAGCAAUGGAGGGACGCAGAAGGAUAGAAGAAGCGUGCGAUUGGUUGUGCACGUCCAAGCAGUUAGGCUGAUAAGUAGGCAAAUCCGCUUAUCGUGAAGGCUGAGCUGUGAUGGGGAAGCUCCUUAUGGAGCGAAGUCUUUGAUUCCCCGCUGCCAAGAAAAGCUUCUAGCGAGAUAAAAGGUGCCUGUACCGCAAACCGACACAGGUAGGCGAGGAGAGAAUCCUAAGGUGUGCGAGAGAACUCUGGUUAAGGAACUCGGCAAAAUGACCCCGUAACUUCGGGAGAAGGGGUGCUUUCUUAACGGAAAGCCGCAGUGAAUAGGCCCAAGCGACUGUUUAGCAAAAACACAGCUCUCUGCGAAGCCGUAAGGCGAAGUAUAGGGGGUGACACCUGCCCGGUGCUGGAAGGUUAAGGAGAGGGGUUAGCGUAAGCGAAGCUCUGAACUGAAGCCCCAGUAAACGGCGGCCGUAACUAUAACGGUCCUAAGGUAGCGAAAUUCCUUGUCGGGUAAGUUCCGACCCGCACGAAAGGUGUAACGAUUUGGGCACUGUCUCAACCAGAGACUCGGUGAAAUUAUAGUACCUGUGAAGAUGCAGGUUACCCGCGACAGGACGGAAAGACCCCGUGGAGCUUUACUGUAGCCUGAUAUUGAAUUUUGGUACAGUUUGUACAGGAUAGGCGGGAGCCUUUGAAACCGGAGCGCUAGCUUCGGUGGAGGCGCUGGUGGGAUACCGCCCUGACUGUAUUGAAAUUCUAACCUACGGGUCUUAUCGACCCGGGAGACAGUGUCAGGUGGGCAGUUUGACUGGGGCGGUCGCCUCCUAAAGUGUAACGGAGGCGCCCAAAGGUUCCCUCAGAAUGGUUGGAAAUCAUUCGUAGAGUGCAAAGGCAUAAGGGAGCUUGACUGCGAGACCUACAAGUCGAGCAGGGACGAAAGUCGGGCUUAGUGAUCCGGUGGUUCCGCAUGGAAGGGCCAUCGCUCAACGGAUAAAAGCUACCCCGGGGAUAACAGGCUUAUCUCCCCCAAGAGUCCACAUCGACGGGGAGGUUUGGCACCUCGAUGUCGGCUCAUCGCAUCCUGGGGCUGUAGUCGGUCCCAAGGGUUGGGCUGUUCGCCCAUUAAAGCGGUACGCGAGCUGGGUUCAGAACGUCGUGAGACAGUUCGGUCCCUAUCCGUCGUGGGCGUAGGAAAUUUGAGAGGAGCUGUCCUUAGUACGAGAGGACCGGGAUGGACGCACCGCUGGUGUACCAGUUGUUCUGCCAAGGGCAUAGCUGGGUAGCUAUGUGCGGAAGGGAUAAGUGCUGAAAGCAUCUAAGCAUGAAGCCCCCCUCAAGAUGAGAUUUCCCAUAGCGUAAGCUAGUAAGAUCCCUGAAAGAUGAUCAGGUUGAUAGGUUCGAGGUGGAAGCAUGGUGACAUGUGGAGCUGACGAAUACUAAUAGAUCGAGGACUUAACCAUAUA
This 2911-nucleotide ribosomal RNA is filed under the name Bacillus anthracis str. Sterne. Its description in RNAcentral is "bacterial LSU rRNA". It matches the Rfam family "Bacterial large subunit ribosomal RNA". The record is from RNAcentral. Lineage: Bacteria; Bacillati; Bacillota; Bacilli; Caryophanales; Bacillaceae.